This is a long non-coding RNA of Gadus morhua (Atlantic cod), 2009 nucleotides long. NCBI's taxonomy places the organism in Eukaryota, Metazoa, Chordata, Actinopteri, Gadiformes, Gadidae. The record is from Ensembl.
AGGCAGAGUGCAAUCCACUGCACCACUGAGGCGAUGACAAUAUACAAUAAUCAAUCAUCAAUAAAUAGGAUAUACAUGACAUUAAAAUGUAUGUGUGUAUUUCUAUUAUUUCCCUUAUGUUUUUUUUUCAUGACGACCGAUAAAAAACGACAGUGUUACCCCCUAUAUUUUAUUUGAUAAAUAUCGACAGUGUUGCAGCUUAUGUUUUUUUUUCAUGACGACCAAUAAAAAACAACAGUGUUACCCCUUAUGUUUUUAUUCAUGACGACCAAUAAAAAAACAACAGUGUUACCCCCCAUGUUUUAUUUGAUAAAUAUCAACAGUGUUACCCCUUAUGUUUUUUUUCACGACGACCAAUAAAAAAACAACAGUGUUUCCCCCCAUGUUUUAUUUUAUGACGACCAAUAAAAAACAACAGUGUUACCCCUUAUGUUUUUUUUCAUGACGACCAAUAAAAAAAAAACAGUGUUACCCCUUAUGUUGUACCCCUGUCGACGUAUUUGCGGGGAUCCGUACCUGAGCUGUUUAGAGUGUUAACCUCCGAGCUCAUCAAUGCACCAUCAAGACACCGUAAAAAUUCAACACAAUGGUUAUACUUGACUUUAUAAUUCACAUUAAAUAGAAAUAAGAGUCUUCCAUCAGAGGGCAUCAACCAGACUUGAACCCCGGUCUUCAGGGGGUUCGCGCACAGCUCUCUCCACAUCCCACUGAGAUUUGUUAUAUAUAUAUGUAUGUGGUUAUAUAUGACAGUGUAAUAGACAUGAUAGCAUUACGUUUAAAAUUAAAGAUAUUGUGUAUUCCACAGAAAUUGAACCCCGGUCUCCAGUGGGUUAGGCAGAGUGCACUCCACUGCACCACUGAGGCGAUGACAAUACACAAUAUUCAAUCAUCAAUAAAGAGAAUAUACAUGACAUUAAAAUGUAUGUGUGUAUUUCUAUUAUUUCCCUUAUGUUUUUUUUCAUGACGACCAUUAAAAAAACAACAGUGUUACCCCUUAUGUUUUUUUUCGUGACGACCAAAUAAAAAACAACAGUGUUUACCCCUUAUGUUUUUAUUCAUGACGACCAAUAAAAAAACAACAGUGUUAACCCUUAUGUUUUUUUUCAUGACGACCAAUAAAAAAACAACAGUGUUACCCCUUAUGUUUUUUUUCAUGACGACCAAUAAAAAACAACAGUGUUACCCCUUAUGUUUUUUUUUUUCAUGACGACCAGUAAAAAACAACAAUGUUACCCCUUAUGUGUUUUUUUUUAUGACGACCAGUAAAAACAACAAAUGUUACCCCUUAUAUUUUUUUUUCAUGACGACCAAUAAAAAACAACAGUUAUUAUGUUUUUUUCAUGACGACCAAUAAAAAACAACAGUGUUACCCCUUAUGUAUUUUUUCAUGACAACCAUAAAAAACAACGGUGUUACCCCUUAUGGUUUUUUUCAUGACGACCAAAGAAAAAUGAGUGUCACCCCUCAUGUUUCAUUUGAUAAAAACGACAGUGUUACCCCCCCAUGUUUUAAUUGAUAAAUAUCGACAGCGUUACCCCUUAUGUUUUUUCAUGACGACCGAUAAAAAACGACAGUCUUACCCCUUAUGUUUCAUUUGAUAAAAACGACAGUGUUAACCCUUGUGUUUUUUUUUCAUGACGACCGAUAAAAAAACAACAGUGUCACCCCCUAUCUUCUAUUCAGUUUUCUGAACAAAUUAAUACUUUUUUUUUUUUGUAUAAUUUUAUCAUACAACAUGAUUUUUUAUUAAAUUAUUGACAUCCACCCUUUUUCUGAUAUUUAUCAUAUUAUCAUUUCAUUUUAUUUAGAACAUUGUCUGUGUAGGCUGACGUAGGCUAUGACGCACAACGCAGAACUGUCCAUAGCUGAAUAUGGUACUAUGCUGAUUUUACAUAAGCAUGUUGGUGUUCAACAUCUGUUGUAAGUGAACAUUCUAAAACUGGUUUAAAAAUGUUGCUGCCAUAUUAAUAGACACGUUGAAUGUUAUCGUUUUGAUUCUGGAAUCCCGC